UACGAUAGACACGAAGUUCUAUCAGUAAAUCUUUCGCUUUAGCUUUUUUUUAAAUAUUAUUUUAUUUAAACCCUAAAUCAUUUGUGCAUAUUAAAAAAUGCUUCAUUUAUAGAUUGUACAAUAAAUAUUAAUUAUAAAUAAAAAAAAAAAAAAAUUAGUUGUUGUGAUUAUGUAAUCAAAGAGUUAUGUAGACAUUUUUCAAUCAGGUUCAGAACAAACCUCUAUAUAAUAACUCUCCUUAUUGGAACACACAAAACGCACUUGAUGGUUAACUUGAGUGCAGGUAUAUGACUUAGAAACAUAGUAGGAUUAGAGAAAUAUAGUGGUAUGGGUGACAAGUUGAACAAAAGUCAACAAAUAGCAGCCUAUGGACAAAUAUUAUCUGGCCAGCAGACAAUAAAUGUGGUUUUUCUUUUGCAUUUACUUUCU
Aphis gossypii (cotton aphid) is the source of this 429-nucleotide long non-coding RNA. RefSeq lists it as uncharacterized. The record is from RefSeq and is a predicted model, not a curated record. The transcript is spliced from 3 exons. Lineage: Eukaryota; Metazoa; Arthropoda; Insecta; Hemiptera; Aphididae.